UACGAAGGGGGCUAGCGUUGCUCGGAAUCACUGGGCGUAAAGCGCACGUAGGCGGCUUUUUAAGUCAGGGGUGAAAUCCUGGAGCUCAACUCCAGAACUGCCUUUGAUACUGAGAAGCUUGAGUCCGGGAGAGGUGAGUGGAACUGCGAGUGUAGAGGUGAAAUUCGUAGAUAUUCGCAAGAACACCACUGGCGAAGGCGGCUCACUGGCCCGGUACUGACGCUGAGGUGCGAAAGCGUGGGGAGCAAACAGG
RNAcentral lists this ribosomal RNA (253 nucleotides) under uncultured bacterium. RNAcentral describes it as "partial 16S ribosomal RNA". It matches the Rfam family "Bacterial small subunit ribosomal RNA", at positions 524 to 776 of the family's 1533-position model. The record is from RNAcentral.